RNAcentral lists this long non-coding RNA (1094 nucleotides) under Triticum aestivum (bread wheat). RNAcentral describes it as "long non-coding RNA (TAES_LNC011192)". The record is from RNAcentral. Lineage: Eukaryota; Viridiplantae; Streptophyta; Magnoliopsida; Poales; Poaceae.
CAUAUGGAUCACCUACCACUCAAAAUCCAACCAUUCCAUGUCAUACCUCAUCAUCUGCAAAACAGCCAAGAAGGAAAAGUAAUUCUGUAAGCAGUUAAAUCUCUUUGAGGUGGGCAUUACAACAACCAGCAGGUUCUUCUGCCACCUCCGCACAAAGUUACUAAUUCGUCUUAAAGAAGGAACCACAUCAUGAGAAGGAAAGAAGAUAACAAAAUCACUAACUCACGCACUCUGCACAGGAACGCCCAACACCGGUGUUGCUUUUCUCAGGAAAUGGCGAAGGCGGAGGUAGGCUCCUCGACCCAACUCCAGCUUUCAACAAUUUGACUAACACAAAACACAUUAUUAACAUCCAGCAUGGAUAUAGGUCUACUGUAUAACAACUCUUUCCAUGAAAAUUUGUUUUGUUCAUGGUAGAAAUUUGUUUUUGUUUACAUCACUUUGAAUAUAGGUGUAGUACAACAGCUCUUACAGACAUUAGCACAAACAAUUUGCAGGCAAACUUAUACCUGGCAGAACACAACCUAAGAGAAGCUAAAAUUCCACCGCAAAAACAUACGAAGAAUGCAUAUGUAAGUGCAAAUCGCCAUGGUUAUUGGUCUAUCAACCAACAACAGUUCAGAGAGACAAAUGCUAGCAAGGGAUUUCCUAGAAUUUUGCCAUAUGCUCUUUUCUUUGUCCAAAUAACUUCAUAUUUGGUGCUAAAGUUAGUACUUCGUCUUGGAAAAGGAAUCCAUCAUGAGAUGGAAAGGAGAGAAUAAAAUCACUAACUAUCAAUUGAGAGAGGGGAGAAAGGGAGUCGAGCUUACCUCGGUGUUGCGUAUCGUGGCGUCGAGCAAGAGCCGCUGGUGGUGCCGUCAUGGAAGGAGCCGCUCCACCACUGGUGCCAUGGCAUCAGAAGAGCUGCAGCCAGGGAUGAGACGAGGAUACGCCGCCAGACUCUUUCUUCCUCUUCCCGUGUGAGAUCCUUCUUUCACUCCCUUGAUUCACCUCUUCUCCUGCUCCGUCUCACUUGCUGCCCUCCAUCCUCGGCGGAUCCACAGCGCUGGAAGCUGGUGGGGCGAGGUGGCGGAAGGAGGAGGCGUGUGGAUCUG